Molecule: long non-coding RNA, 4731 nt
Organism: Talpa occidentalis (Iberian mole)
Lineage: Eukaryota; Metazoa; Chordata; Mammalia; Eulipotyphla; Talpidae
Exons: 3
Source: RefSeq, a predicted model, not a curated record
GGUGAUUCUGGGACUCCCCGACCUGCGCGGGGAGUCGGUGCCUGGGGCUGCCUGGUCAGUCCUGGACCCCUCCAGGAGGCGUCAGCUGUGAUGUGACCGGGGACCUCCUGGGGCCUCCCGAACAUAAGAUCUCUUUACAAGCGCUCUGCUGGGAUCAGUGCAACCAUCAGUCCAUUCCCUGUGGGUGUGUCUGCAUCGUUGACCAUCUCCAUAGGAUUUCCCGGAGGUUUCUGAUGCUGAGAAAGAUCACAGUGAUGCAGCUUCUCCUCUCCGGGGUGUUUCCUGCUCUGCUGUGACAGCCUCACGUGGUGCAGUGAGUAGGCAGCUAGCCUCAUGAAAAGCUGGGUUCUCACCAACCUUACCCACACUUGGCUCUUACCUGCCUAGUCCCUCUUGCUGUCAUCCCCUGCACACUUUAUCAUCAUUCAGAAGCGACAUCAGAGGGUGAUGUAUCAGCAACACAUAUUAUGACAACUAAGGAAUUGAAGCUUUCUGCACACCCAGAGCAGGUGUCUGCGGGAUGGGAAAAGAAGGGCAAGGCUACUAUGAUUUCUUUAAUAACAGGGCAAGUGGACCCCAGUCUGGAUCUGUUCUCCCCUUGUGUUCUAGCUAACCGGGGUCUUGAGUCUCUCCUGAGGCUGGGUUGUGGCCUAGCAGCACGUGUCAAUAGCUGCCGUUCUAACCUUCAGAACUGUUGCUGGCGAGUUCCAGCCUUCUCUUUCCUGUUUCUUUUGCUUAAUUUUUGUUUUAGUUAUUUCAGAUUCGUUCCUGACCUACUCCUUACCUCUCUAGAUACAACUGUUCUCUCACUUUCUUGGCCUGGCACCAUCUGACAGCUCGGUACCAUCCAUCCUCACACCGAUCGGAUGUUCAUUUUCCAUGCGGAUUGGCAAUGAAGACAUUAGGAGGAACCCCGAUGGUGACCCUUUGAGGAGCUAAGGCUCCACCGACUCUCCUUCUUAAUGAUGGUGUUUUAGCCAAUCGUCACCAUUAUAAUGUUCACCCCACUUCCUAAGUGCUUCCCCUAACACUGCCCAAAAUAAUGAAAUCUGCGUGGCCUCCAUUACCUACUAAAUCUAUGGUUUCCUUGUAGAAAAAUCGUUUUUGGACUGGAAUGGUUAAUUGGCUUUCAAAGCCAUACUGCUCUUUCGCUCAUUGGGAGGCUUUGGGCAUUUCUGCUGCCUCUUAUUUUCCUUCAUUCCCAAUCCCCACCCACAGGCCCCCAAGUACUCAUCCCUCCCCAGUCAAUUAUCAUCUCUGCUAUUUUUGGGGUUUUUUUGUACCAUGGAUAUUUUAUUAUACCGCUUCCCAUAGUAUUUUUGAUUUUAAAGAAACUCUGCAUAGCCGAGGAGAUAGCCACUGUCCUUCGGUAAUGGUGAUACUUCCACUUCCUUUGCAGGUGGGGCUGCCUCUGAUUCCAAAUCAAAACCUUGCACCUCCUCUCUGGAAUUAUUCUGUCCCCUUUUGCCCUUAUACCAGUUGUCAACCACUUUUUCGUGACCCCUUUACUUCUUGUGAAGAUCAAAGUCAAGUCUUUAGUGUGCUUUUUCCUUGUGUCCCAGAGCUGUCAUGCCAUCCUCUGAUUCCAGAGUUUCUGCGUGGCAUGAAAAAUCCUCACCAUGAAUCAAUGAUCUUCACGUAUUGAAAAUAUUCCCUCUGUGAGGACCCCAUGGGGAUGAGGAGGGAGCUGGGGAAGAGUAAGAAGGGGAAAGUAUAGCUUUUAGGUUUCCUACUGUGCGACCUCAAUUCACCGCAGCAGGAUGCAGAAUGCAACUCCAGCAGGAUGGCCCAGAGUAACUUAGAAAAUGCCCAAAAAGAGAAAUUAGUGACGAGAGCUAGAGAUCACACAACAUGGGAGCAAUAGGUGCAUCAAAAUUUGUAUAAUACUGAUGUCUUUUCAUGAUUAGACUAGGGUUAAGAUUUAUCAUUCUGCCAACCCAUAUCACAGGAGUAAUUGUCCGCCUGUGUUUACCAGGUGCCCGUGUUGGGGUGUCCCGUUAACAUUUAUGUCAGCUACGUUCAUUCGGUUCUGCCACUUUCUUCCACCACCGAGUUAAUAAAUUUCAAGUGAUCAUUAAUAAGGGUGAUGGAGAGAUUUACCGAGCGAUGUACAUAAACCAUCACAUUUAAUCUGAAAAAUCCCUCCUUUGGUUCUGUUUCUUCUUUGACUUGGAAAAUGAAGGCUGUCACCUUUGGAGAUGUUGGCUUCUGCAGGUGGAAAUUACCAGGCCUCAGUCUUGUAAGUGUCCAUUACAUUAUACAUCACAGGCAUUUUUAUUUUACACAUUUAUUCCUUCAAAAAAGAAAAAUUAUAUAACUUAUCUCUGCAGGAGUGUUUAAAAAACAACAAGAACAACAACAAACUGUUAAAGAUUCCAGACUCAGCAGCAGCCCCUCUCAUUUAGUUGAUAUAACUGUGGCUUUCCCGAGGGGGUGUCUAAGAAAUACAAACCAUACCACUCACAAAUAGAAUUAUCAGUUUCACAAAUUAAAAAUACCUGAUUUCCUGGACAAGAAAAUUAUGCCACUUUUUACACGUGUGAGGUCCCACACCCGUAUGUGUGCAUGUGUAUUAGAGACUAACAGUAUUUUCCUCAUUCUGUGUUCUUGUUCCCAUUAUUAUUCUCCUUUACAGGCCAUGCCGUGAAUAAAUUAGAGUCUCCAGGACAUUUAGUUUUAGUCUAAAUCAGGACUCAGCCAGUUAGAAAUGCUAACGUGUUCUCCUCUGGCCACUCCCCAAAAGCCUUUGCCUUUAGUGUCCAGGGCACUCAGAGGGAGAGUAGAGGACAUUUAUGUGAAUCCAUCAACUAUGUCUUCCUUUAUGUCUAUCCCAUCUGUGUAAUGGGGAAGGGUGUAUUUUUUUUUCUGGUUGAAAAGAAGCUGUAAGUAAGUAAGUCUGAAAUUAUUCUGUUGCAGAAAAAGUCUCAGGCAGGAGACGGGACGGUGUGGUGGGGGUUACUUCAGGGCACAACCAGAGGAUGUGUUCCUUCAGGUAUUGGGUGGAGACUAUACAGUUUGAUUAAAAAAAAAUCGGAAGCCUGACUGGUCUGAAUAAGGUUAAACAGAUUCCCUUAGAAUCUUUUAAUCCUUUCUGAUACCUGCUUGAUUCUGGCCUGAGUUUGGUUGUGUUUUGGAACAUCCAACCUCAACCCUUAAUAGCUAACUCACUGGCUUUUUUGUUUGCUCAUUUAAUAUCACAAUAUUUGCAUUCCAAAUCAUCAGGGUCAGAUUGGAUUUGCACAGUGUCAGGUGACAAAGCAAAGUCUUGUAGAAUCUUUAUGGUCUUUUAUAAAAACAAAUUCCUCCUAAGGGAAAAGGUUUAUGUACCUUCAGAUGGAGCCAUUUCUCCUUUUGCUCAUUUCUCCUUUCAAUUCCCUGACUGGCUUUCUGUUUUAGGCUAAUGGAGCCCCUCAUGCCGGAGUUGAUGAAGCUCAGGUUGAACGAGGCAGGCAGGUAGAUACAACUUACAGAACUCUUGUGUUUGGAAAGCCACAGGGAGCCCAGAAUUGGCAGUUUGUGUCAUCUUCUUAUUUUUGUUUGUUUUAAGGUAAAGUAUACACAACUUUCGAGUAAACAGAAUGGAUUUCCAAACAGAAAAGUGAACAGGAGCAUAGGUUCAGGCUCUAAAGCCAAGCUCCCUCACUAAAGUAAAAUGAGGUGACCUUGACAUUAACACUCCAAAUGCUGCUGCUCUGCCCACCUGCACCUGUUUGAUUAGCAGCAAGCCCAGAUUUUCAUCCUUAAAUGAAGUUUCUCAUCACCACAGCAUUAUUCUUAAGACUUCCAAAUAAAACUUACCAGUAACUUUUCACCAGCCCCUGAGCAAGGAGAAAAUUUCAGCUACAACUUUUUUCAUGAGCUUCAGUUGAGUGGUUCUGAUAAUAAAAGGGAGUUGUGUACAUCACAAAAUUUGGACAAGUACUAAACAAACAUAAUGAACUAGAGCCAGCUGACUUUUCCAGCCAAAGAUGAAUACUUUCUGAAUUAGCUUAUUUUUCCCCUAUUACUUUCCAGUAUUUUUAAUUGUGAAAGAUUACACUUGCGUAUAAGGGCAGAUAGUAAUGAUGUAGAGCUUGAGAAGGACAAAAUGAAGGGCCAUUAACUAGGUCAAGAAAGAUAAAAGCACAUCAUAUCUAAUCUUCCCCCUCCAUAAGUAAGCACCAAUAUGACUUUCAAGAAAAUCGUUUCCCUUUCACUUCAUUAUAUCACUUAUCACUAAAUGUGUAAUUGAAGUAUGAUUUUAAUUUCGUCUGGUAUUUAAAAGUGAAAUAAACCACAUUAUGCUUACAUUUUGACGGAACAACAACAUUUAGGCAAGAUUAAUCCACAUUAUUGGAUGCAGCUAGAGCCUACUUAUUUAACUGCUGCAUAAUAUUCCACCUGGUGCAAAGUAAUUUUCCAUUCUUCAUACACAUAAGGGCUAAAGAGAGUAGCGCUCAUUAAUAUUUUGCACCUGUGGUGGAAUGACACUAUCUCUGGGAUUUUAUAUUCUACUUUAAUCAUUUAACAUUGUGACAUAAGUACUUGCCAUGUCAUUAACAGCUAUUAGGAAUUAUUGUAGCUAACGGCUGCAUUUCAUUUAUGACAGUUCUGUAAUUUAUUUUACCAUUCCCUGGGGUUUUCGUUUAGCUGAUUUCCAAUUAUUUGUUACUACAAAGAAAGUGCUGGUGAGCAUUUUUGCGCAUAAAGCUUUUUAUCUGCAUUUGAGAGCAUUUCCUUAGGUCAUUUCCC